CCUACGGGAGGCAGCAGUAGGGAAUAUUGCUCAAUGGGGGAAACCCUGACGCCGCACCGCCGCUUUGCUGAUGAAGGUUUUCGUAUUGUAAACUCCUUUUGUUAGAGAAGAUAAUGACGGUAUCUAACGAAUAAGCACCGGCUAACUCCGUGCCAGCAGCCGCGGUAAUACGGAGGGUGCAAGCGUUACUCGGAAUCACUGGGCGUAAAGAGCGCGUAGGCGGGAUAGCAAGUCAGAUGUGAAAUCCUAGGGCUUAACCAUAGAACUGCAUUUGAAACUGUUAUUCUAGAGUAUGGGAGAGGUAGGUGGAAUUCUUGGUGUAGGGGUAAAAUCCGUAGAGAUCAAGAGGAAUACUCAUUGCGAAGGCGACCUGCUAGAACAUAACUGACGCUGAUGCGCGAAAGCGUGGGGAGCAAACAGGAUUAGAUACCCCUGUAGUC
Molecule: ribosomal RNA, 440 nt
Filed under: uncultured bacterium
Lineage: Bacteria
Description: partial 16S ribosomal RNA
Rfam family: Bacterial small subunit ribosomal RNA
Source: RNAcentral